UGUUCCAAUAAUGCUUUAGAAUCAGAAACUCUGAUUCAUACCACCUUAGAGUUCUAGAAUCAUUCGGCACAGAACCUAAGCAAGAAGGACUUACAGCUCUCUGGUGUUUCAAAUCAUUUCAAGAGUCAUCAGGAUAGAAGACUGGCAACAAAUGUGGCUGUCUUUACGGGAGCACCAUCUGAACGCAGAAGUGCAGAAUUGCCUAGUUCUUCCUAGACUGGAAGCCACACAGGCAGUGAAGAUUUAGGGUUAUCCUUGCUGUGAUGAAACACCAUGACCAGAGAAACUUGGAGAAGAAAGGAUUUAUUCAGCUUGGGUCCACAUCACUGUUCAUCACUGAAAGAAGUCAGGACAAGAACUCAAAAAGAGCAGGAAGCUGGAGGUAGGAGCUGAUGCAGAGACCAUGGAUGUGUCUGCUACAAAGCUGUGACUCCUACGAAGGGCUGGAACUGACCCAUCUCUGUAUCCUCAGAGUACAGGAGAAGCUGAGACUCUUUAUACCAGAUGGUGCAAGACACAGCAUCUUCAAUUGUGGGCAAUACAAAUUAAGCACGUGUUGGCCAAUGAAAGCCUGAUAAGGGGUUUAAAAUCCGUCUUACAUGAAAACAGAUCCAGAAGUGUUUUUCUUGAAGUGAACACUUCUGAGAAUGCACUUGCUGAUUUUGCAGACUGUUUCUGGGCAUCUUCUCUGUGCAAGGCCUGGGCUGGGGAAAAGGAAGCCAUAGGUACAGGCCUACCAUCCCGGCAGCAGAGCUCAUGGUCUGGAUGGUGUUGGACACACAAAUAAGGAUCUAUGACUCAGUGCACUCAGGUCCCCCAGGAGGCAUGAGGGUGUGCCCAGGGAAGGCUCCGAGAAGACGUUGCAGAAGAGCACAGUUGUGACAAUGUUGAAAACAAGUAUCUUUUUUAAAAGACUUAUUGUUUUUUUAGUGUAUGUAUUGGCUGGAUAUGGUGGCUUACAACUUUAAUCCCAGCAAUCAGGUGACAGAGGCAGGCCAAUUUUGUGGGUAAGAGUCCAGCCUGGUCUACAUAGCAAGCUCCAAUGCAUCCAAGGCUACAUAAUGUGACUCUGUCUCAAAACAACAACAGUAAUAAUAAAAAUGUAUGAAUA
Molecule: long non-coding RNA, 1111 nt
Organism: Mus musculus (house mouse)
Lineage: Eukaryota; Metazoa; Chordata; Mammalia; Rodentia; Muridae
Product: predicted gene, 34821
Exons: 4
Source: RefSeq, marked validated